GCCCUUGUCGUUCAACGGACAGGACACGGAGCUUCUAACUCCGGAAUCGAGGUUCGACUCCUCGCGAGGGCA
This 72-nucleotide transfer RNA is filed under the name Candidatus Giovannonibacteria bacterium. Its description in RNAcentral is "tRNA-Arg". It matches the Rfam family "tRNA". From Rfam's summary of the family: Transfer RNA (tRNA) molecules are approximately 80 nucleotides in length. Their secondary structure includes four short double-helical elements and three loops (D, anti-codon, and T loops). Lineage: Bacteria; Candidatus Giovannoniibacteriota. The record is from RNAcentral.